GUACUAUGCUAUACUGUACUGUACUCUACUGUAAUAUACUAUACUGUACUGUAUUAUACUAUACUGCACUGUACUAUACUAUACUGUACUGUACUCUACUGUAAUAUACUAUACUGUACUUUAUUAUACUAUACUGCACUGUACUAUACUUAAGCAAUAAGGCACAGGGGGUGUGGUAUAUGGUCAAUAUACUACGGCUAACGGGCGUUCUUAUGCACAACGCAACGCUGAGCGACUGGAUACAGUUUUCGCCGUGGUAUAUAUACCACCAACCCCCGAGGUGCCUUAUUGCUUUCAUAAAUCACAGUCCCUUCACUACACUGUCUGCUCUGAGCUAGGUUCUGUAUCACAGUCCCUUCACUACACUGUCUGCUCUGAGCUAGGUUCUGUAUCACAGUCCCUUCACUACACUGUCUGCUCUGAGCUAGGUUCUGUAUCACAGUCCCUUCACUACACUGUCUGCUCUGAGCUAGGUUCUGUAUCACAGUCCCUUCACUACACUGUCUGCUCUGAGCUAGGUUCUGUAUCACAGUCCCUUCACUACACUGUCUGCUCUGAGCUAGGUUCUGUAUCACAGUCCCUUCACUACACUGUCUGCUCUGAGCUAGGUUCUGUAUCACAGUCCCUUCACUACACUGUCUGCUCUGAGCUAGGUUCUGUAUCAGAGCCCCUUCACUACACUGUCUGCUCUGAGCUAGGUUCUGUAUCAGAGCCCCUUCACUACACCUCAUCUCUUAUCUUCAGUACACUAUCUAGCUAGAGAUCCUGCAUGAACCUGUCAGCUUGAUCUCUCAUUCGAAUAGUGAUGAUGAUGAUGUUGUUGUAAUGGGACAUUUCUGUUAUUUUCU
Oncorhynchus keta (chum salmon) is the source of this 848-nucleotide long non-coding RNA. RefSeq lists it as uncharacterized. Lineage: Eukaryota; Metazoa; Chordata; Actinopteri; Salmoniformes; Salmonidae. The transcript is spliced from 5 exons. The record is from RefSeq and is a predicted model, not a curated record.